Long non-coding RNA from Anguilla anguilla (European eel), 1724 nucleotides. RefSeq lists it as uncharacterized. The record is from RefSeq and is a predicted model, not a curated record. NCBI's taxonomy places the organism in Eukaryota, Metazoa, Chordata, Actinopteri, Anguilliformes, Anguillidae. The transcript has 4 exons.
GUAAUGAUGCAUCCCGGUAUAACUAUUGUUUCAGCUAUUACAUACAAGCUUAUUUUGUCAACGCUGUUGAUAUGUUUGAGGUGAUGACACAAAUAGGUUUCAUGCCCAUCCAAGGUUGGGAAAUGUCCGAAUAUAGCUUCAGUUAGGUUGUCAAGGUAAAAAGUUAAUGGAGUUUUUGGUUCUGAAAGCCCCACAAAACAACCACGCCCACGUCUCCCACUCAUAUGUACGUCAUGUUGCGGAAGCUAGUUCUGUUUUAAGUUUCGUUUCGUGGCAGGUUGCUUUUAAGACAGGUGACGUUAUCUGUGUAUAACGUAAAACAGAGAACAGGUGAUACUUACACCGUCGUUAAAUAAAACGUAAGAAGAAGGUAAUGCCUAUUGUCGCGCAGCACGGGGAUAUUCCUGUUAAACGAAUGAACAAAGCUAAUGUUAACUAGGUAACGUUAUCUAAUUUUAGGCUACCUAGUGUCAUUAUUGCUUUAAAAUUAAUAAUCCGACUUGAUAUUCAACCAAUGUAACACUUGUUGGACCUUUGACAUGGAAAUGCAGGUUAAAACCGAAGUCAAUGAUCGCAUGAUUUCUGAAACAAACUGCGGAUCAUAUGAUGGAGCGGAAAGCAUCUCGGUGAAACCAGAACCGGAGACUAGUAUUGAUAUCGCCGCACAAUCGGUGCACUCGCGAUAUUGCAGGAUAACAGUGACGGGAGAACACCCAGGAGAAUUUAAUUGCCCGGUAAAACCCGACAUCAGUCGUUAAUGUCACGUUGAAACCCGACAAUGGAGUAGAUUUAGACAUUACAGUGAAACGCAUAUAAAAUUAAGCUCAUUGUGUUUCUGCAUUGAAACUGGAACACGCGGAACAUGACAUUUCUCUCUGUGCAGACCUUUCGAUUGCCGGGAGUAUUUGUAAAAAUGAGCCCGAAGCUCCGAGAAAGAAGUGCAUUGAGACUCGCAGGAAUACCGAACAGCUGGCAAGGCCCAGGAAGCGGAACCCAAAGGUGUUCCACUGUGGAAUUUUCGGCAAGGACAUUAAACAAAGUUCGAAUUUCCAGGAGCAUCAGCGGGUGUACAGUAAUGAGAGACAUUUACGAGUGGGGGCGACAUUUACGAGUGGGGGCGACAUAGCUCAGGAGUUCCACUGCCAGUACUGCCACCUCGUCUUCAACCGUCGCUCCAACCUGAGGAAGCACGAGCAGGUGCACUGCCCCGGAAGUGCACGGGGGGCCCGGGGGUUCGAGCCUCCGACCCUGGCCUGCGGUGCCGGGACAGCCACAGGACCAAAAGGGUUCUUAUGGUAAGCAGAAGCUGCUUUCGUUUAAGUUUGGAAGUACGUAAGCGAGAGGGGGAGAGAAAGAGGUGACCCCCCCCCCCCGCGUUGCACAUGUGGGUCAUUUCUCAUCUCUUCUCGUCUAUGGCUGCACAGAACCGAAGAGAAGAAAUGGAGGGAGUUUGUGAAGUUGUCGUUGCAUUGGAGGACUGAGCAGAGACCCUGGCGAUAAUGGGUUCCUUUGUUUGGCAAGACUUUGCCGACGGAACGAGAGAGCAGUCUCUCGGCAUCUGUGGAUUACGUUAAGUUCACUUAGCAGACGAGUCUACAAAACGUGGAAAACAGCAGUGUUACUCUGUGGACAAUGUCACCAAGAAGGCACUGAAGAUCCUUUCAUGACAAUAAGUGUAAAAAGCUAGCCAAACGAACCAAAAAUAAAGCAUUAUAAAGCACCUC